This 265-nucleotide ribosomal RNA is filed under the name uncultured bacterium. Its description in RNAcentral is "partial small subunit ribosomal RNA". It matches the Rfam family "Bacterial small subunit ribosomal RNA", at positions 26 to 284 of the family's 1533-position model. The record is from RNAcentral.
AGGACGAACGCUGGCGGCGUGCUUAACACAUGCAAGUCGAACGAUGAUGCUCGCAGCUUGCUGUGGGUGGAUUAGUGGCGAACGGGUGAGUAACACGUGAGUAACCUGCCUUUCACUCUGGGAUAAGCCUUGGAAACGGGGUCUAAUACUGGAUAUGACUUGCUGCCGCAUGGUGGUGGGUGGAAAGCCGUUCGGGUGGUGGAUGAUGGACUCGCGGACUAUCAGCUUGUUGGUGGGGUUGUGGCCUACCAAGGCGUUGACGGUU